Long non-coding RNA from Suricata suricatta (meerkat), 514 nucleotides. RefSeq lists it as uncharacterized. The transcript has 4 exons. The record is from RefSeq and is a predicted model, not a curated record. Lineage: Eukaryota; Metazoa; Chordata; Mammalia; Carnivora; Herpestidae.
GAUCUUACUCUGCAGAGCCCAAGUGGGGCUUAGGCCCUCAUUCCUCAGUGAGGGCCUCUACGGUUGUGAUAGUCCUCCUGCUUAACUCCUGACCAAACGACAUCUCUGCCUUUUCUCCUCAUCUCAAUAUGGACUUUUCUUUGUAUUAUUAGUUGUAUAUAAUCUGUUCUGUUAGUCUUCAGUUUGUUCUCAGAGAUGUUAUAUAUGUAGGUAUAGAUUCUCUAUGGGAGAAGUAAAACUCAUGAGGUGGUACAAAUCUUUGGUCCUGAAGAAAAUAGUCCUUAAACAAGUGGGAUUUGCUACUGCUAAAGGCAGAAAUGAAAAGAAUGUGAAACACUGUAAGAAAGAUUCGUUUAGGGAAACCAUUGCUUUGCCCCAUUACUCUGGUGUCUUUUAAAACUACUGUGAGCAACUCCUACCCUCAACUACGGUCUGUGAAGCACAGCUACGAUGGAGCUCUUCUAUGGUGUUGAUGUCCUUUGCCAAAGCUGUUUUAAUAAAGGAGUUUCCUUUG